Mesocricetus auratus (golden hamster) is the source of this 1096-nucleotide long non-coding RNA. RefSeq lists it as uncharacterized. The transcript has 3 exons. Lineage: Eukaryota; Metazoa; Chordata; Mammalia; Rodentia; Cricetidae. The record is from RefSeq and is a predicted model, not a curated record.
AACAAGCCAGUAACAGCACCUCUUCAUGGCCUCUGCAUCAGCUCCUGUCUCCAUUUCCCUGCCCAGUUUGUGUUCCUUUCCUGGCUUCCUUCAAUGGUGAACGCUAAUAUAGAAGCAAAAUCUUAGCCAAUAUACUCCAGGUGAUGGACCCACACUCAGUGAGUUGAGAUGCUUGCAGAUUUGGGGCCAUGGAGCCCUUCCACCCCAGAGAGCCCAGAGUAAGCCAAGAGGGUCCAUGGCACAGAAGGUUCCCCCACUGGAAGAAGAGAACCUUGGGUGUGAUGAACAUAAAAGGAAGACUCUCUUUCAGAAAUUUACCAUUGAAGGUUCAAGGAAGGAAAAAAACAUCAGCUAGGCUAUAAGUAAAAAGUUUUUGAUCCUGACCAUUGAAGUACCUGAGACUUGCAACAUUGUCACUUUUUCUACCAUGUUACCUCUUUGCUCAUGUCAUGUCCCCUGUGUCGGGCAGCUUUCAUAAAUAUCUCAAAUAUCUCAGUUGCAGCAAGGGUUCAUUUGGUCCCUCUAAGAUUAGAUUGACUUGGGUUUGAGUAAGCCUCUUCUGUGGGGUUACCAGCAUGGUAGACUAGUUGACCUAGAGGAUGGAGAUGCUUUCUGUCACUACCCUUGAGCAUGAACUUAGAUCAAGGACUCCAGGACCUCCAUCUCACGGAUGUCAAACAAAAAAAACAUGGUUUACCCUCCUGUCCUCAGAUUUUGCUCUUGCCAUCAAGGCACUGGGCUUUUGUUUUGUUUUUUCUUGGUUAUUAUGGUUUUGCAUUUUUUUCUAUUACAUCUAUAAUCCAGACAAUUAUCAGAGAACUCUCUGUGGCAUCUACAUAUCCCAAUCUCUUCCAUUCCAAUCUGUUGCCUACAGAGUAGGCCGCAAAACCAUUAUGAGAUUCAGAUUCAAGGACAGGGCAUCUAUAAAUGCAUUUUCCUGGCUUCAAAUCCCAUGUGAGAUGAUUACAAUUCUCCAUAGAGAGUGAGAUACUUUAUAAUCUGAAUUUGUUUCCACAUGGCCACAGGAGGCUCACACCGUUCUUCCUGUCUGUCUUCCCAAACAUCUCUAUUUUGUUUUCUAUGUCUUGACAAAAAC